AAAACCUUAAGUUAUGUCAAACUAUUAACCUUCAAAGUUAAAUAUAUACCAAGUAUAGGUUUUA
Molecule: transfer RNA, 64 nt
Filed under: Nesidiocoris tenuis
Lineage: Eukaryota; Metazoa; Arthropoda; Insecta; Hemiptera; Miridae
Description: tRNA-Trp
Source: RNAcentral